UUGCAGGCGGCGGAAGCCGCGCUCGCCAAGGCCGAGGCCGCGCUGCUGCAGGCCUCGCAGCAUGCCAUCCGCAUCGAAACCCUCACCAAGAGCAACGCCGCUUCGCAGGCCUCUAAUGAAGCCGCGAUCGGCAAUCUGGCGCAGGCCAAAGCGGAUCUUGCUGCGCGCAACGCCGACCUGUCGCGCGCGCGCCUCAAUCUCGACUACGCCACCAUCAAGGCGCCGAUCAACGGCAUCAUCGGCGCCGCAUUGCUCAGCGAAGGCGUGCUCGUGGUGC
This 277-nucleotide unclassified non-coding RNA is filed under the name Hevea brasiliensis (rubber tree). The record is from RNAcentral. Lineage: Eukaryota; Viridiplantae; Streptophyta; Magnoliopsida; Malpighiales; Euphorbiaceae.